RNAcentral lists this ribosomal RNA (437 nucleotides) under uncultured bacterium. RNAcentral describes it as "partial 16S ribosomal RNA". It matches the Rfam family "Bacterial small subunit ribosomal RNA", at positions 29 to 507 of the family's 1533-position model. The record is from RNAcentral.
AGCGAACGCUGGCGGCAGGCUUAACACAUGCAAGUCGAGCGGGCAUCCUUGUGGUGUCAGCGGCAGACGGGUGAGUAACGCGUGGGAACGUGCCCUUCGGUUCGGAAUAACUCAGGGAAACUUGAGCUAAUACCGGAUACGUGCGAGAGCAGAAAGGUUUAUCUGCCGAAGGAUCGGCCCGCGUCUGAUUAGCUAGUUGGUGAGGUUACGGCUCACCAAGGCUACGAUCAGUAGCUGGUCUGAGAGGAUGAUCAGCCACACUGGGACUGAGACACGGCCCAGAAUCCUACGGGAGGCAGCAGUGGGGAAUAUUGGAAAAUGGGGGCAACCCUGAUCCAGCCAUGCCGGGUGAGUGAUGACGGCCUUAGGGUUGUAAAGCUCUUUUCUCCGGGACGAUAAUGACGGUACCGGAGGAAUAAGCCCCGGCUAACUUCGUG